AACCCGACUCCAUGAAGCUGGAUUCGCUAGUAAUCGCGCAUCAGCCACGGCGCGGUGAAUACGUUCCCGGGCCUUGUACACACCGCCCGUCAAGCCAUGGAAGCCGGGAGUGCCUGAAGUACGCGACCGCAAGGAGCGUCCUAAGGUAAAACCGGUGACUGGGGCUAAGUCGUAACAAGGUAAC
This 184-nucleotide ribosomal RNA is filed under the name uncultured bacterium. Its description in RNAcentral is "partial 16S ribosomal RNA". It matches the Rfam family "Bacterial small subunit ribosomal RNA", at positions 1309 to 1500 of the family's 1533-position model. The record is from RNAcentral.